RNAcentral lists this ribosomal RNA (429 nucleotides) under Acidobacteriota bacterium. Its description in RNAcentral is "Acidobacteria bacterium partial 16S ribosomal RNA". It matches the Rfam family "Bacterial small subunit ribosomal RNA", at positions 355 to 776 of the family's 1533-position model. Lineage: Bacteria; Pseudomonadati; Acidobacteriota. The record is from RNAcentral.
UGGGGAAUUUUUGGCAAUGGGGGAAACCCUGACCCAGCAACCCCGCGUGUGCGAUGAAGGCCUUCGGGUCGUAAAGCACUUUUAUCAGGAAAGAACAGUUGUGGUAUAAUAUCUGGUGAAAUUGACGGUACCUGCAGAAUAAGCAACGGCUAACUACGUGCCAGCAGCCGCGGUAAUACGUAGGUUGCAAGCGUUAACCGGAAUUACUGGGCGUAAAGCGUGCGCAGGCGGUUCUGUAAGAAAGAUGUGAAAUCCCAGGGCUCAACCGUGGAACUGCAUUGUUAACUAGAAGGCUAGAGUGUGUAAGAGGGAGGUGGAAUUCCGCGUGUAGCAGUGAAAUGCGUAGAUAUGCGGAGGAACACCGAUGGCGAAGGCAGCCUUCUGGGAUAAAACUGACGCUGAUGCACGAAAGCGUGGGGAGCAAACAGG